CCCUUAGAUGUUCUGGGCGGCCCGCGCACUACAAUGGCGUGUGCAGCGAGUGCCGAAGUAGAGUUUUCCGAGGUAUUCUUGCAAUGCUCGUUUUGAUGGGGGUAGACCCUUGCAACUGUUGGUUUUGAACGAGGAAUUCCUUGUAAGCAUGGUUUAUCAUCCGACGCUGAAUGCGUCCCUGCCCUUUGUACACACCGCCCGUCGCUCCUACCGAUGAGUCGUCCGGUGAAGUUCGUAGACCUCGUGAUCGCGGAUCACUGGGGGAAGCAAAAUGAACCUCGCGGUUUAGAGGAAGGAGAAGUCGUAACA
RNAcentral lists this ribosomal RNA (309 nucleotides) under uncultured eukaryote. RNAcentral's name for it is "partial 18S ribosomal RNA". It matches the Rfam family "Eukaryotic small subunit ribosomal RNA", at positions 1470 to 1796 of the family's 1831-position model. The record is from RNAcentral.